Molecule: ribosomal RNA, 495 nt
Filed under: uncultured bacterium
Lineage: Bacteria
Description: partial 16S ribosomal RNA
Rfam family: Bacterial small subunit ribosomal RNA
Source: RNAcentral
GACGAACGCUGGCGGCGUGCCUAAUACAUGCAAGUAGAACGCUGAAGGAGGAGCUUGCUUCUCUUGAUGAGUUGCGAACGGGUGAGAAACGCGUAGGUAACCUGCCUGGUAGCGGGGGAUAUCUAUUGGAAACGAUAGCUAAUACCGCAUAAGAGUAGAUGUUGCAUGACAUUUGCUUAAAAUGUGCAAUUGCAUCACUACUAGAUGGACCUGCGUUGUAUUAGCUAGUUGGUGAGGUAACGGCUCACCAAGGCGACGAUACAUAGCCGACCUGAGAGGGUGAUCGGCCAAACUGAGACUGAAACACGGCCCAGACUCCUACGGGGAGGCGCAGUAGGGAAUCUUAGGCAAUGGACGGAAGGCUGACCCCGCAACGCCCCGUGAGUGAAGAAGGGUUUCGGAUCGUAAAGCUCUGUUAUAAGAGAAGAACGGGUGUGAGAGUGGAAAGUUCACACUGUGACGGUAGCUUAACAAAAAGGGACGGCUAACUACGUG